This is a long non-coding RNA of Daphnia pulicaria, 493 nucleotides long. RefSeq lists it as uncharacterized. The transcript is spliced from 2 exons. Lineage: Eukaryota; Metazoa; Arthropoda; Branchiopoda; Diplostraca; Daphniidae. The record is from RefSeq and is a predicted model, not a curated record.
AAUCGCUGAACGGGGGGCGGUUUGAUUCCUUUCCAUUGGUUCCAACGUUGUCCGGCAGCUUCUCCGUGCUGUCAUCGGCGCCGACGUCGUGCGUGAGAUCGCUGCCUUUACUGACUAAGAGGACGCUUAAACGAUGGCCGUCCAGUGGACGCGUGCAAACGUCUCGUUGAACUACUCGGGAAGAUGUAGCUGAUGUAACGCACGCAAGUCUGUCAACUGGGCAUUUUAUUUUUCAAUUCAUUUGGUUUUUCGGUAAUGUUGGCACAUGAUGUGGAAUGGAAAACCAAGAAUUUGACGUUCGGAUAAAGAAUUGAAUUGAGUGAAAUGAAAGGGCUGCCACUUCACACGGAUUUAGCUGAAUUGAGAUUAAGAAAAAGACGCAAGAUGAAAAGCACAAUUAAUAAGGUGUGUGCACUUUUCCCCAAAAUGUCUUUAUCGUUUUGUCUAAACACCAUUUGAAACAAUACAAAAUUCGAAGUUUUUCUUUAUUGAA